This 593-nucleotide ribosomal RNA is filed under the name Harrya chromipes. Its description in RNAcentral is "Harrya chromapes partial small subunit ribosomal RNA". It matches the Rfam family "Bacterial small subunit ribosomal RNA", at positions 350 to 963 of the family's 1533-position model. Lineage: Eukaryota; Fungi; Basidiomycota; Agaricomycetes; Boletales; Boletaceae. The record is from RNAcentral.
AGCAGUCAAGAAUAUUAGUCAAUGCUCGCAAGAGUGAACUAGCUAACUGAAAUCUUAAUCUAAAUAUUAAGAUAAGGUAAGAGAAAAUAAUGAUAUUAUCUUACUAUUAGUGUCGUCUAAAUUUGGUGCCAGAAGACUCGGUAAGACCUUAGACGCAAACGUUAAUCGUCAUAAUCAGGCGUAAAGGGUGUGUAGGCGGCUUUAAAAAGAUAUAAUUAAGAAUAUAAUUAUUAUAGCUAACAAAAAUUAUAUUUGAAUAAAAGCUAGAAUCUAAAAGAGGGUAAGCUAAACAACAUAAUUAAUUGGGACUGACAACUUAUAAUAAUGUGGAGUACUAAAGGUUAAAGCUAUUUAUCUACUUAAGAUUGACGCUAAGAAACGAAGGGGAGAAUAAGAAACUUAGAUUAGAGACCUAAUUAUCUCUCUCAGUCAACGAUGAAUGGUAGUUAUUAAAAAAAAUUUAUAUUAUUAGUAACGAGGUUAACACGAUGACCAUUCCGCCUUGUUAGUAAGACUGCAAAGUUGAAAACAAAAAAAUUAGUCGGUCUUGAAGCAAACGAAGUGAAGCAUGUUAUUUAAUUCGAUAAUCCGCA